AACGCUAGCUACAGGCUUAACACAUGCAAGUCGAGGGGCAGCAUGGUCUUAGCUUGCUAAGGCCGAUGGCGACCGGCGCACGGGUGAGUAACACGUAUCCAACCUGCCGUCUACUCUUGGACAGCCUUCUGAAAGGAAGAUUAAUACAAGAUGGCAUCAUGAGUUCACAUGUUCACAUGAUUAAAGGUAUUCCGGUAGACGAUGGGGAUGCGUUCCAUUAGAUAGUAGGCGGGGUAACGGCCCACCUAGUCUUCGAUGGAUAGGGGUUCUGAGAGGAAGGUCCCCCACAUUGGAACUGAGACACGGUCCAAACUCCUACGGGAGGCAGCAGUGAGGAAUAUUGGUCAAUGGGCGAGAGCCUGAACCAGCCAAGUAGCGUGAAGGAUGACUGCCCUAUGGGUUGUAAACUUCUUUUAUAAAGGAAUAAAGUCGGGUAUGCAUACCCGUUUGCAUGUACUUUAUGAAUAAGGAUCGGCUAACUCCGUGCCAGCAGCCGCGGUAAUACGGAGGAUCCGAGCGUUAUCCGGAUUUAUUGGGUUUAAAGGGAGCGUAGAUGGAUGUUUAAGUCAGUUGUGAAAGUUUGCGGCUCAACCGUAAAAUUGCAGUUGAUACUGGAUAUCUUGAGUGCAGUUGAGGCAGGCGGAAUUCGUGGUGUAGCGGUGAAAUGCUUAGAUAUCACGAAGAACUCCGAUUG
This 694-nucleotide ribosomal RNA is filed under the name uncultured bacterium. Its description in RNAcentral is "bacterial SSU rRNA". It matches the Rfam family "Bacterial small subunit ribosomal RNA", at positions 32 to 715 of the family's 1533-position model. The record is from RNAcentral.